RNAcentral lists this ribosomal RNA (322 nucleotides) under uncultured Flectomonas. RNAcentral's name for it is "SSU rRNA". The stretch from base 112 to 322 matches the Rfam family "Eukaryotic small subunit ribosomal RNA", at positions 744 to 955 of the family's 1831-position model. The record is from RNAcentral. Lineage: Eukaryota; Cercozoa; Glissomonadida.
GAUUUCUGGCCUGAAACAUUUUGUCGGCCACGGUUUCGUGUGUUAGUGCAUUAUGUUCUGGCCAUCCUUCCAAUCGCUAUUUACCUUUCUUCAUUGAUUGGUAAGUGGUAUUGGAUCUUUUACUUUGAAAAAAUUAGAGUGUUUCAAGCAGGCUUUAUGCUAUGAAUACAUUAGCAUGGAAUAAUAAUUUAGGACUUUUGUCCUAUUUUGUUGGUUUCUAGGACGAAAGUAAUGAUUGAUAGGGAUAGUUGGGGGUGCUAGUAUUCAGCGGCCAGAGGUGAAAUUCUCGGAUUCGCUGAAGACUAACUUAUGCGAAAGCAUU